UACGUAGGGGGCGAGCGUUGUCCGGAUUCAUUGGGCGUAAAGAGCUCGUAGGCGGUUCGGUAAGUCAGGUGUAAAAACUCCAGGCUCAACUUGGAGAGGCCACCUGAUACUGCCGUGACUAGAGUCCGGUAGAGGAGCAUGGAAUUCCUGGUGUAGCGGUGAAAUGCGCAGAUAUCAGGAGGAACACCAGCGGCGAAGGCGGUGCUCUGGGCCGGAACUGACGCUGAGGAGCGAAAGCGUGGGGAGCGAACAGG
This 254-nucleotide ribosomal RNA is filed under the name uncultured bacterium. Its description in RNAcentral is "partial 16S ribosomal RNA". It matches the Rfam family "Bacterial small subunit ribosomal RNA", at positions 524 to 776 of the family's 1533-position model. The record is from RNAcentral.